This 404-nucleotide ribosomal RNA is filed under the name Bacillota bacterium. RNAcentral's name for it is "Firmicutes bacterium partial 16S ribosomal RNA". It matches the Rfam family "Bacterial small subunit ribosomal RNA", at positions 355 to 776 of the family's 1533-position model. Lineage: Bacteria; Bacillati; Bacillota. The record is from RNAcentral.
UGGGGAAUAUUGGACAAUGGGCGCAAGCCUGAUCCAGCCAUGCCGCGUGAGUGAUGAAGGCCUUAGGGUUGUAAAGCUCUUUUACUGGGGAAGAUAAUGACGGUACCCAGAGAAGAAGCCCCGGCUAACUUCGUGCCAGCAGCCGCGGUAAUACGAAGGGGGCUAGCGUUGUUCGGAAUCACUGGGCGUAAAGCGCACGUAGGCGGACUUUUAAGUCAGGGGUGAAAUGCCAAGGCUCAACCUUGGAACUGCCUUUGAUACUGGAAGUCUUGAGUUCGGGAGAGGUGAGUGGAACUGCUAGUGUAGAGGUGAAAUUCGUAGAUAUUCGCAAGAACACCGGUGGCGAAGGCGGCUCACUGACCCUAUACUGACGCUGAGGUGCGAAAGCGUGGGGAGCAAACAGG